RNAcentral lists this ribosomal RNA (1225 nucleotides) under metagenome. RNAcentral describes it as "SSU rRNA". It matches the Rfam family "Eukaryotic small subunit ribosomal RNA", at positions 483 to 1727 of the family's 1831-position model. The record is from RNAcentral.
AUGCGGGACUCAUCAGAGGCCUCGCAAUUGGAAUGAGCGCACUUUAAAUCGUUCGACGAGGAUCUAUUGGAGGGCAAGUCUGGUGCCAGCAGCCGCGGUAAUUCCAGCUCCAAUAGCGUAUAUUAAAGUUGUUGCAGUUAAAAAGCUCGUAGUUGGAUCUGGGGUUCGGGUCGGCGGUUUGCCGCUUCGGCGGCUACUGCCGUGCUCGACUCUUACUAGCCGGUGCGUCUUGCGGUGCUCUUCAUCGAGUGCCGUAGGAGCCUGGCAUGUUUACUUUGAAAAAAUUAGAGUGCUCAAAGCAGGCGAUUCCGCCUGAAUAGUGUUGCAUGGAAUAAUGGAAUAGGACCUCGGUUCUAUUUUGUUGGUUUUCGGAACUUGAGGUAAUGAUUAAGAGGGACGGUCGGGGGCAUUCGUAUUUCGGUGUUAGAGGUGAAAUUCUUGGAUCGCUGAAAGACGGACAAAUGCGAAAGCAUCUGCCAAGAACGUCUCCAUUAAUCAAGAACGAAAGUCAGAGGUUCGAAGACGAUCAGACACCGUCCUAGUUCUGACCAUAAACGAUGCCAACUAGCGAUCCGCAGUGGUUGCUAUAAACGGACUCUGCGAGCAGCUUCCGGGAAACCAAAGUGUUUGGGUUCCGGGGGAAGUAUGGUUGCAAAGCUGAAACUUAAAGGAAUUGACGGAAGGGCACCACCAGGAGUGGAGCCUGCGGCUUAAUUUGACACAACACGGGGAAACUCACCCGGUCCGGACACUGUAAGGAUUGACAGAUCGAGAGCUCUUUCUUGAUUCGGUGGAUGGUGGUGCAUGGCCGUUCUUAGUUGGUGGAGUGAUUUGUCUGGUUAAUUCCGAUAACGAACGAGACUCUAGCCUGCUAACUAGUUGCGCCGUGUUCAUACGCGGCUGUAGACUUCUUAGAGGGACAGGUGGCGUUUAGCCACACGAAAUUGAGCAAUAACAGGUCUGUGAUGCCCUUAGAUGUCCGGGGCCGCACGCGCGCUACACUGAAGGAGUCAGCGUGUGCUAUCCGGGCUCGGAAGAGUUCGGUAACCCGUUGAAACUCCUUCGUGCUUGGGAUUGUGGCUUGUAAUUAUCGCGCAUGAACGAGGAAUUCCCAGUAAGUGCAAGUCAUCAGCUUGCGCUGACUACGUCCCCGCCCUUUGUACACACCGCCCGUCGCUACUACCGAUUGAAUGGUUUAGCAAGGUACUCGGAUUGGUCUCGAUCU